AGAGUUUGAUCCUGGCUCAGGAUGAACGCUAGCGGCAGGCUUAACACAUGCAAGUCGAGGGGUAUAGAGAGCUUGCUCUCUAGAGACCGGCGCACGGGUGCGUAACGCGUAUGCAAUCUACCUUUUACAAAGGGAUAGCCCAGAGAAAUUUGGAUUAAUACCUUAUAGUAUUAAGUUUUGGCAUCAAGAUUUAAUUAAAGAUUUAUCGGUAAAAGAUGAGCAUGCGUCCCAUUAGCUAGUUGGUAAGGUAACGGCUUACCAAGGCAACGAUGGGUAGGGGUCCUGAGAGGGAGAUCCCCCACACUGGUACUGAGACACGGACCAGACUCCUACGGGAGGCAGCAGUGAGGAAUAUUGGUCAAUGGACGCAAGUCUGAACCAGCCAUGCCGCGUGCAGGAUGACGGUCCUAUGGAUUGUAAACUGCUUUUGUACAGGAAGAAACCCUACUUCGUGAAGUAGAUUGACGGUACUGUAAGAAUAAGGAUCGGCUAACUCCGUGCCAGCAGCCGCGGU
Molecule: ribosomal RNA, 514 nt
Filed under: uncultured bacterium
Lineage: Bacteria
Description: bacterial SSU rRNA
Rfam family: Bacterial small subunit ribosomal RNA
Source: RNAcentral